This 450-nucleotide ribosomal RNA is filed under the name uncultured bacterium. RNAcentral's name for it is "partial 16S ribosomal RNA". It matches the Rfam family "Bacterial small subunit ribosomal RNA", at positions 354 to 796 of the family's 1533-position model. The record is from RNAcentral.
GUGGGGAAUUUUGGACAAUGGGCGCAAGCCUGAUCCAGCAAUGCCGCGUGCAGGAAGAAGGCCUUCGGGUUGUAAACUGCUUUUGUACGGAACGAAACGGUCCGGGUUAAUACCCUGGGCUAAUGACGGUACCGUAAGAAUAAGCACCGGCUAACUACGUGCCAGCAGCCGCGGUAAUACGUAGGGUGCAAGCGUUAAUCGGAAUUACUGGGCGUAAAGCGUGCGAAGGCGGUUUUGUAAGACAGGUGUGAAAUCCCCGGGCUCAACCUGGGAAUUGCGCUUGUGACUGCAAGGCUUGAGUGCGGCAGAGGGGGAUGGAAUUCCGCGUGUAGCAGUGAAAUGCGUAGAUAUGCGGAGGAACACCGAUGGCGAAGGCAAUCCCCUGGGCCUGCACUGACGCUCAUGCACGAAAGCGUGGGGAGCAAACAGGAUUAGAUACCCGAGUAGUCC